GAUGAAGAACGCAGCGAAAUGCGAUACGUAAUGUGAAUUGCAGAAUUCAGUGAAUCAUCGAAUCUUUGAACGCAUAUUGCGCUCUCUGGUAUUCCGGAGAGCAUGCUUGUUUGAGUAUCAGUAAACACCUCAACUCCCCUUUCUUUUUUGAAAUGGGAGCUGGACUUGAGUGAUCCCAACGCUUUUCUCACCGAAAAGUGGCGGGUUACUUGAAAUGCAGGUGCAGCUGGACUUUUCUCUGAGAUAAAAGCAUAUCUAUUUAGUCUGCCUAAAAACAGAUUAUUACCUUUGCUGCAGCUAACAUAAAGGAGAUUAGUUCUUGUGCUGACUGAUGCAGGAUUCACAGAGACAGCUUCGGCUGGCCUUUGUAAACUCGAUCUCAAAUCAAGUAAGACUACCCGCUGAACUUAAGCAUAUCAAUAAGCGGAGGA
This 431-nucleotide unclassified non-coding RNA is filed under the name soil metagenome. RNAcentral describes it as "partial contains 5.8S ribosomal RNA, internal transcribed spacer 2, and large subunit ribosomal RNA". The stretch from base 1 to 120 matches the Rfam family "5.8S ribosomal RNA", at positions 35 to 154 of the family's 154-position model. The record is from RNAcentral.